This 468-nucleotide ribosomal RNA is filed under the name uncultured bacterium. RNAcentral describes it as "partial 16S ribosomal RNA". It matches the Rfam family "Bacterial small subunit ribosomal RNA", at positions 328 to 792 of the family's 1533-position model. The record is from RNAcentral.
UGUCCAGACUCCUACGGGAGGCAGCAGUGAGGAAUAUUGGUCAAUGGGCGGAAGCCUGAACCAGCCAAGUCGCGUGAGGGAAGAAGGCCCUGCGGGUCGCAGACCUCUUUGGACGGGGAGCAAGGCCGCCGACGUGUCGGCGGAAGGAGAGUACCCGUAGAACAAGCAUCGGCUAACUCCGUGCCAGCAGCCGCGGUAAUACGUAGGUGGCAAGCGUUAUCCGGAUUUAUUGGGUGUAAAGGGCGUGUAGGCGGGAAAGCAAGUCAGAUGUGAAAACUAUGAGCUCAACCCAUAGCCUGCAUUUGAAACUGUUUUUCUUGAGUGCUGGAGAGGCAAUCGGAAUUCCGUGUGUAGCGGUGAAAUGCGUAGAUAUACGGAGGAACACCAGUGGCGAAGGCGGCUUACUGGACUGUAACUGACGUUGAGGCUCGAAGGCGUGGGGAGCAAACAGGAUUAGAUACCCCAGUA